AAUAUAUAAAUUUAUAUUAAAAGUAGUGUUACGACAGCGGAAGUCACGUGACCCUGGUAACACGUAAUGAGUCUCUAGAAGGAUCGGGGGAAAUCACGAAUAAUCCGGUAUUUGCUAGACACCCUCUAUUUCUGUAUAUAAGCAGGUAAAUAAAGCAAGAUAAUUAACUGAAUUGCAGACAGGCAGAG
Limulus polyphemus (Atlantic horseshoe crab) is the source of this 188-nucleotide long non-coding RNA. RefSeq lists it as uncharacterized. The record is from RefSeq and is a predicted model, not a curated record. The transcript is spliced from 3 exons. NCBI's taxonomy places the organism in Eukaryota, Metazoa, Arthropoda, Merostomata, Xiphosura, Limulidae.